Molecule: ribosomal RNA, 253 nt
Filed under: uncultured bacterium
Lineage: Bacteria
Description: partial 16S ribosomal RNA
Rfam family: Bacterial small subunit ribosomal RNA
Source: RNAcentral
UACAGAGGGUGCAAGCGUUAAUCGGAAUUACUGGGCGUAAAGCGUGCGUAGACGGUUACAUAAGUCGGGUGUGAAAUCUCGGAGCUUAACUCCGAAACUGCAUUCGAUACUGCCGUGCUUGAGGACUGGAGAGGAGACUGGAAUUUACGGUGUAGCGGUGAAAUGCGUAGAUAUCGUAAGGAAGACCAGUGGCGAAGGCGGGUCUCUGGACAGUUCCUGACGCUGAGGCACGAAGGUCAGGGGAGCAAACGGG